Molecule: non-coding RNA, 148 nt
Filed under: Gorilla gorilla gorilla (western lowland gorilla)
Lineage: Eukaryota; Metazoa; Chordata; Mammalia; Primates; Hominidae
Source: Rfam by way of RNAcentral
GCUGGGUGUGGUGGCGUGUGCCUGUAAUCCCAGCUACUCUGGAGGCUGAGGCAGGAGAAUUGCUUGAACCCAGGAGGCAGAGGUUGCAGUGAGCUGAGAUCAUGCCACUGCACUCCAGCCUGGGUGACAGAGUGAGACUCUGUCUCCA